CCAACAGAGGGAAGCGAGACGGUGACGUUAAGCAAAUCCCAGAAAUAACGUCCCAGUUCGGAUUGUAGUCUGCAACCCGACUACAUGAAGCUGGAAUCGCUAGUAAUCGCGAAUCAGAAUGUCGCGGUGAAUACGUUCCCGGGUCUUGUACACACCGCCCGUCACACCAUGGGAGUCGGAAAUGCCCGAAGUCAGUGACCCAACCGUAAGGAGGGAGCUGCCGAAGGUGGAGCCGGUAACUGGGGUGAAGUCGUAACAAGGUAUC
RNAcentral lists this ribosomal RNA (265 nucleotides) under uncultured bacterium. RNAcentral describes it as "partial 16S ribosomal RNA". It matches the Rfam family "Bacterial small subunit ribosomal RNA", at positions 1236 to 1500 of the family's 1533-position model. The record is from RNAcentral.